RNAcentral lists this transfer RNA (30 nucleotides) under Polyachyrus sphaerocephalus. RNAcentral's name for it is "partial tRNA-Phe". Lineage: Eukaryota; Viridiplantae; Streptophyta; Magnoliopsida; Asterales; Asteraceae. The record is from RNAcentral.
GUCGGGAUAGCUCAGUUGGUAGAGCAGAGA